UAGGGUAAUAAGGGCUCCAUGGGGCUAAAAGAUUCCCUUGGGCCCUAGUCACUGCAGUCAACUCAGCUGGCAUCAGACUUGUGUCCAUGGGGAUAAGUACGAACGGCAAACUCUCCUGGGCUCCAGGAAGAGCGUCAGGGGACGCAGGUUGCUGGGUGCCUCGUGCAGAAAGUCGGAGGACUGACGAGUCCUAGCUUCAAAAGGAAGUAGAGAUCAAGCUCUUGCAUGGAGCAGGAAAACAGGAAAAUUCCAAUACAUCUCCGAGUAAUAGAGAUGUGGGAUGCAGCUUUCAUUUCACAUGUGGGCAGCAACCUUCUCAGGUACAAACCUCUAUAAGGGCAGCAAUACUGCAAGACUGUCAGUUUCACGCUGUGCUCUCUCCCUGGCUUGACUGUAGGGCGCCCCCUGCCGGCAGCUACAAGAGGAGCACACUGGGCUCCAGGACAAACUAUGAUGAUCGAGGCACAAGAAGGCAAAGUCCAGUGAUUGACACAGAAUCUUGUGUGCAUCCAGGCAGAAAAAAUCAUGGCAGAAGGAAGAUUCCUACCUGCAAGUACAAGGCUGCGUCACUCCCAACUGCAAGCCCGCACACUCUCAAAGGGGGCAGAAAAGCUGGGCAAGAACCAAGUCCCACUGGGGAAUGUAUCUUGAAAAUAAGGUAGACUCAGACAACAUCUCUCCCUAAAACCGAAAUGUUGAUAUAAAUAUCUGAAGAAAAAUUCUAAUCACAGCAUACAUUGAACAGGCUCACUGAUCUUGUAUACCUGGAAAAAGAUUUUCAAACAGACUUUGUCAGCUCAGCCUUGGCAAUCCUUGUCAAACAAAAGCAUGCCUAAAGACACAUUUCAAAAGCAAACGAGGCAGCACUUGCUAACCUGCAGAAAAUCGAAAAGGAAUGCAGAGGCCAAGAACAAACAGAAUAAGAACCAAUGAGAAAGAGAGCACAGUUCUG
Long non-coding RNA from Talpa occidentalis (Iberian mole), 952 nucleotides. RefSeq lists it as uncharacterized. The record is from RefSeq and is a predicted model, not a curated record. NCBI's taxonomy places the organism in Eukaryota, Metazoa, Chordata, Mammalia, Eulipotyphla, Talpidae. The transcript has 7 exons.